CCCUUAGAUGUUCUGGGCUGCACGCGCGCUACACUGAUGCGAUCAACAAGUUUUUCCUAUGUCGAUAGACACGGGUAAUCUUUUGAACUCGCAUCGCGAUGGGGAUAGAUUAUUGUAAUUAUUAAUCUUCAACGAGGAAUUCCUAGUAGGUGCAAAUCAUCAGUUUGCAUCGAUUACGUCCCUGCCCUUUGUACACACCGCCCGUCGCUGCUACCGAUUGGUUGAUCUGGUGAAUUAUUCGGACUGCCGGCUGAAGGGGUUUCCUCAUCUGCCAGCGGAAAGUCUUGUUAACCCUAUCAACUAGAGGAAGCAGAAGUCGUAACA
Molecule: ribosomal RNA, 324 nt
Filed under: uncultured eukaryote
Lineage: Eukaryota
Description: partial 18S ribosomal RNA
Rfam family: Eukaryotic small subunit ribosomal RNA
Source: RNAcentral